CUCACCCACAUAACACCCAAUUCUACCCCCUCUAUAAAACCACUACAUAAUGCAAAGGGGACUACACAAAAAAUGGACAAAAAUAGAAAAAAACGAAAAAAAAUACAAAAAUGGACCCUUUUCUCUAAAAAGUCCGCCGCUACAGUACAUGAAAGAGACGACCCCAGCCCCCUGAACUUGAUCUUCCCGAGCACCCCCCCUGAUUUUUAAUUUUUCUUCAGUAACAGGAGCCAAAAACAGAGACCGGUCGUUCCCAUUUUUGACCUCUUGGCUCUUACUGUUUUUUUGAAUCAAUUUGAUCUGCUGUUGGAAAUCAAGUUACAGAUCCAUGUGUAUUUUUAUCAAACUCAUUGUUGAAUUAGGCGAAUGAUUUGAGUGAUUUUCUAGCCGACAUUCGCUCAAUUUUUGUAACUUGAAUCUGAUUUUCGAAAGACAUUGCUUCACCUGUCUAGUUCUCGAAUUUGGUUUCAAGUGUUCCGAAAUGGAGUAGUCGAGGUGUUUGGGUUCGACUCGAGAUUUUCCGGUGCUUGGUCGGAGUUCGAGGUGCCGACGAGGUCCGCUGUUGAAUUUUGCUGCGGUUCCGGCGAGUUUCGAAGUCUGAAUCGGGGUUCCGUUCGAGAAUUCAUUUUGGUCCGGUUAACAGUGAUCAAUUCUGUUUUCGACAAGGUUUCAAUGUGAGACCACUCCUUCCCUUUCGUAUUGUACUGUUACAACGAUUAUGAAUAUGUUAUUCUGUUAUCAUUUCUAUUUCAUAAAUGUGUUGUUCUGAUGUUGUUGAAUUAUCAAAGUUUGUUUGUGUUCAAUUCUUCACAAUUUAAAUUCAAGUUGCAUAUUAAUUGACGUGAGCAGUAGAUGUUAUUUUCUUUGUAUUUCAUAUGUUGUUCCUUUAAACAAGGGUGGAUUAAAGUAAUAGUCUCUAAUUUAGAGCAAAAUUCGUUGGAUUUGAGGGAUGAAAAUAAAGUAAUGGGUCUUAGAAAGUAGGAACAUAUUUGUUAAAUUCCUUGUCUCAGUCAAAAUAUUUGUUAGUUGUUCAUGAGUUAUUACAUCUGAAAAGUUCACCGUGAUGUGUAUCAUCACUAAAUUACUACACUGCCUAAUCAUGGAAAGCUAAAGAUUUACAAUAGUAACUCUUAAAUGACCCUAAUUAAUUAGGACUUUUUCUCUUAUUAUUAAAGACAAAAUUAAAUAGAAAAUUAUAAUUUACUUUAGGAUUGACCUUUGAAUAAUAAAUAAGGCGAGCCCCGUCAAACAAAAAAUACAUAAAUUGCAGGACCCUCUUUAAAUGUCUAUACUAAAAUACUUAGAAUUCGGGACGUGCCGUUUAGUGAAUUUCACGGCCUCUCGCGAAGUUAACAAUAUGCUAGUCGCUUUAGGACCGAUCUUUAACAAUGUUACCUUCGUAAAAUCGGGUGAUCAUUUAUGAGACCCAAAUCCAAAUCUUAACGAAAUCAAAAUGUGUCAACAACCACGGGUGCAUUGAUGUGACGUGGCUGGAGACAUAUUUUCACGACCUUACAAUUCUUGUUAAAAAUAAUAAUAAAAGCAGUUUAAAAAUUAAAAAGCACAUAAGCAAGAACAUAUUCUGAAUAAGAUAAAAUUCAAAUAUGACAGUUGAGCGACCGUGCUAGAACCACGGAACCCGGGAAUGCCUAACACCUUUUUCCCGGUUAACAAAAUUCCUUACUCGGAUUUCUGGUUCGCGGACUGUUAACAGAGUCAUAGUUCCUCGGUUCGGGAUUCAACCGGUGACUUGUGAUACCAUUUAUCUCCCAAGUGGCGACUCUAAAAUCUUAAUAAUAAAUCCCGUUCCGAUUGUCCUUUAAGUGAAAAAAUUCCUUUAUGCCCUUGCGGAUGUAGUUAAAUUUCGAGAUCUCAUUUUGAAUCUGAAACUAGAGAGUAUUUUGGGGGGAAUUUUGAGGUUGAGAAAAAAUUUAAAAGAAACAACCUAAUUUUUUGAGUAUAACUGUUAUAUUUCAUUAAUAUCAAAGGAAUGUACAAUGUAAAGUUCAAUAGUAGUAGCUUGGACUAGCUGCUACUCAUUUACAGACAAUUAUCUAUACUAAGACAACUACCAAUAAGCACAAAUGCCAACUCAUUAUAGGGAUAUCUAUUAGACUAUAAUUAAGGAAAACAAUUAAGUUGCCGCAAGCCAUUUUGCCAUCGUCCACAGUUCCUGCCACAAAUAUGAAUAAGUAGAGCAACUUCUCUGCAUAUCUGCUCUUCCACAUAUACUUUCCCAUCAAANNNNNNNNNNNNUAUCUAUUAGACUAUAACUAAGGAAAACAAUUAAGUUGCCGCAAGCCAUUUUGCCAUCGUCUACAGUUCCUGCCACGAAUAUGAAUAAGUAGUGCAACUUCUCUGCAUAUCUAAUCUUCCACAUAUACUUUCCCGUCAAAUCUGAUGCUAUUCCUCUCCCUCCAGAUAAGUGCAAUAGUAUUGACAAAAACAAAGGCUGUUAUAGCAUUGUGCCACAUUCUGCUCCUUGCUUUGCUGCAAACCCAUUGCAGCUCUGUUUCCCAAUUACCAACAGUUCUGUGGUGCCCCAGCCAAUAACAGAGUCUGGACCACAGUCUUCUAGUGAUUGAGCAUUCAAAGAACAAAUGAUUAAACACUUCAACAUUCUGAUAACAGAACACACAAGUUACAGGAACUUGUAUGCCAAAUUUCUGCAAUCUGUCAACUGUAGGAAGUCUUUGCUGGGCAGCUAGCCAAACAGAGAAUUUAUGCCGAGGUUGAACAUUUGCAAUCAUCAUCAGAUUCUUCCAUUCAACCUUGUUCAAGCAGGGAAUCAUUAUGAGGUAAAUUUUCUGAAUCUGGAAUUUAUCCAGUUUGCAUACUCCUGUCAAUCUGCUAAAAAGAUCCCCAUGUAGCUUCUGAUUCUCCAUUAUAGCAGUUCUGCUUUCCAGUAUCUUCCUAACAAAUCUGGAAUUUAUCCAGUUCACUUACUCCUUUCAAUCUGCUAAAAAGAUCUCCCUGUAGCUUCUGAUUCUCCAUUAUAGCAGUUCUGCUUUCCAGUGUCUUCCUAAAAACCCAAGAAGCUGACUUAGGAUUGGUCAUUGUUACAAUAUCACCCUGUUUAAUGUAGUAACAGUGCACCCAUUUAAUCCAAAGACAGUCUUUUUUCCUGGCCAAGUCUCAUAAAAGCUUAGUAAUAGCUGCUUUAUUCCACACAGUCAUAUCUAAUAUGUUGAGUCCUCCAGCUGUAAGUGGUUUGCAGACCCUUUCUCAAGCAACUAGAGCCUUUUUAGAGAGAUUAGCAGUUCCAGUCCACAAAAAGGUUCUGCAGAUUGCUUCAAUGGCUUUCAAUACUUUUUUUUGCAGAAUGAAUACUUGAGCCCAGUAAGUCUGAAUACCAAAAAUGACAGCUUUAAUCAGUUGACAUCUCCCUGCAUAAGAGAGCAUCUUAGGUGACUAGCAUGUAAUUUUAGCUGUAAUAUUCUCUAUCAGAGGCAAGUAGUGAUGGAUGGAAGGCUUUUUAGAAUCAAGGGGUAUCCCCAAAUAUUUGAAUGGAAGCUGGCCCUCAGUGAACCCCAAUGCCUCUAUGAUUUAUUCUCUGGUACUCUGCAGCACUCCAGCCAAGUAUAUUGCACUUUUGCUAAUAUUAGCUUGUAGUCCAGAAGAUUCAGAGAAAUUAAGGAAAGCCUCCUGUAAGUCUGGAUGGAAGCAAUAUCAGCUCGACAGAACAAAAGGAGAUCAUCAGCAAAACAGACAUGAGUACAGUUAAGUUUUCUGCAUUUGGGAUGGAAAUUGAAGUCCCCAUUUUUUGCAACUGUCCCAAUAUCCUAUUCAGGUACUCCAUAGCCAGCACAAAUAGAUAAGGUGACAUAGGGUCACCCUUUCUAAUACCUCUCUUGGCAGUGAAGGGCUUUGUUAGUCCACCAUUCAAUACUAGAGAGUAAGAAAUAGAAGUUACACAAGACAUUAUCCAGUGAAUAAACUUAGCAGGGAACCCAAGGUCAAUAAGGAUACCAUUUAGUACUAGAGAGUAAGAAACAGAAGUGACACAAGCCAUUAUCCAGUGAAUAAAUUUAGCAGGGAACCCAAGGUCAAUAAGGGUCUGUUUAAGGAAACUCCAUUCCAGGGUAUCAUAAGCCUUCCUCAAAUCCAUCUUCAAGACACAUCUAGGGGAAACUCCUUUCCUUGAAUAACCUUUGAAGAUCUCAUGGCUAAGCAGAAUAUUAUCAAGAGUGCUUCUCCCUUCAAUAAAAGCUGACUGAGCUUGCCCAACUAAUUCACCAAUAACAAUUUUCAUUCUCCUAGUAAUAACUUUGGAGAUGAUUUUAUAGACAGUGGUACAACAGGCUAUAGGUCUAUAGUCUCUAACUUUUGUAGGAGCUCUAACCUUAGGAACAAGUGCAAUAGCAGUGGUAUUGAUCAUGUGAGGCAUUUUGCAUAUGGAGAAGAAGUCCUUUGUAGCAGCUAGUAUAUCUUCCUUUACUAUCUCCCAGUUUCUAGUAAAGUAUUCCACAGGAAAACCAUCCACACCUGGUGCUUUAUCCUUUGGCAUCUCUUUUAGUGCUUCUAUAAUUUCUUCCAAGGUAACCUCUUGAAUUAGCAUUCUUUGUUGUGAUAAAGUUAGACAUUGUCCUUCUUAAUAAUAACGGUGUUGACACAAGGUAGGUCAUCAGCACACUUACAUUGUCCUUCUUUAAUAACAACAGUGUUGACACAAGGCAUCUCAUCAGCACACUCCCCCAUCAAUGAUUGGAAAACCUUUAUAAACUCCUGCUCCACAGAUAAGGUAUCUGUAAGUUUCAGACCUGUAUCAGUGUAGAUAGAAGUAAUGCUAUUCUGGCAUGUUCUGAUCUUCCACUGGGCAUGGAAAUAUUUUGUAUUGGCAUCACCACAAUCAAUCCAGCAAGCCUUGGAUUUAUGUCUUAUAAUUUGUUCCUCCACACAACUCCAUUUCUCAAUUUCUUCUAAUGCUGCUUUUUCCUUAGUAAACAGAGAUUGUGCUCUGUGCUGCAACUGAGACUGAAUAAUACCCAGUGUCUCCCUAGCCUGGACAAGUUUCUGCUUGUAUGAAGCCAUAUGGACAUUUGUCUCCUUUAAGUGCUAUUUCAUGGUCUUCAAUUUAUUCCAUAUCUGUUGCAUAGGUGUUCCUUCACAUUCCUGUCCCCAGACCUGUUGUAAUAUGGUAUGAAACUGAGGGUUCUCCGUAAUAGCAAGAUAAAGUCUGAAAGGUUUAGGAUGCAGAAGUUUUUGAUUUCCAAAUUUGAUAAGAACAGGAGAGUGAUCAGAAACUGAGGGAUUCAUGAAGUCAGCUUCUAGGUGACCAUACUACUGUAUCCACUGGAAAUUGCCCAAUGCCUAAUCAAUCUUGCUAUAGACCCUAGUGGUAGUACUUUGCUUGUUAGUCCAAGUGUAAUGCCACCCUUUAACUCUAAGAGGAGUGAGUUGAAGGUCAGCAAGGACAUCUUUAGAACCUCUAACUUCAGCAUCAGUAACAGGAGAUCCAAUUCUAUCUUCAGAACAUAAGACAGAAUUAAAAUCACCACUCAACAACCAAGACUCUUGGCUGGGUACAUAUACUUUCCUUAGAUCACUCCACAGCUGGUCUCUAAGGCUUGCAAUAUUAUGAGCAUAGAUGACACUUAAAUGAGUUCUGAUUUGACUUUUAGGGUCUUCUAAGAAACACUGAAGAAGCUGGCCAGUCACACAGGAAAUUUGGAUCUGGAUGUGAGGUUUCCAGAGUAGCCAUAUCCUCCAAUUUAAAGCCUUUGAGCAGUUACAUUGAACCUUCCAUCCCUUAGCAAACUUAUCUUAAUGUGAGGUUUCCAGAGUAGCCAUAUCCUCUCAUUUACAGCCUUUGAAUAGUUGCAUUGGACCUUCCAUCCCUUUGCAAUCUUAUCUUGAAUCUCUUUGCUUUGUGUUCCUUCACUCUCGUCUCAAGACAUCCCAUAACAUCUAUUUUAUUUACAGCAAGAAAGGUUUUCAACUCUUUCUGCUUAUGGGCUUGGUUUAGCCCCCUAAUNNNNNNNNNNNNNNNNNNNNNNNNNNNNNNNNNNNNNNNNNNNNNNNNNNNNNNNNNNNNNNNNNNNNNNNNNNNNNNNNNNNNNNNNNNNNNNNNNNNNNNNNNNNNNNNNNNNNNNNNNNNNNNNNNNNNNNNNNNNNNNNNNNNNNNNNNNNNNNNNNNNNNNNNNNNNNNNNNNNNNNNNNNNNNNNNNNNNNNNNNNNUCAUUGAUUACUAUCUCAUUCCUUUCCUGAAUGUCAGGGCCUUGCUGUGCAUUCUGUUGAACAAUAGCCAUACAAGUAGUGUUAUUCCCCAGCCUCUCAUUCUCCUUGUUAUGUUCUGGUUGCACUGGCAAGCUUUCCUGUGAAUCUGUACUAGCUAGAGGCUGUUUAACAAGUCACUCUUGCUUAGUUACUUUUGCCUGCUUUUUCAAUCUGGCCCUCUGUCUCCUUGUCUUACCCUGUUUCCCCAUAUCCUGCUCUACAUCAUUGUUAGCAUUAUACCAACAAUCAAUAGAAUCAUGUCCAAAUUUCAGACAGUGAUUGCAGAAACUAGGCUUCCAAUCAUAUUAAAUCAACAGAAUCUUAGGGCCAAAUGGAGUCUCAAUCUCUAUCUGAUCAGGGAGAGGAUGGGCAGCAUCAAAGUCAUAUUCAAUUAGCUGAAUCUUCGGGCCAAAUGGAGUCUCAAUCUCUAUCUGAUCAGGGAGGGGAUGGGCAGCAUCAACCUCUACUAGUACUCGAGCAAAAGAAAUCUUCUCAUAGUGAGCUGUGAAUUUGUCUGUGUACAAUGGUUUACCCACUGCACUAGCCAUUUUACUCAAUACUUCAAUAGACCAAUAGCCCACCGGUAGUCCAGGAAAUCAAAGCCACAUAGGGAUAGUACUCGGUAUAUCAUUCUGAAAGGAGAAGUCAAUUUCCCAAGGCUUCAAUACCAUGGGUUUAUUCCUGUAUGAAUAAGGUCCAGAUUGAAUGACUAGGUCUCUGUCCUCUAUACUAUUGAAUCGGAAGAUGCAAUAGCCCUCAAAAUGAAUCAAAAUAUGGGGUUUGGAAACAAAGUUCCACACAUGCAGCACAAAAUUAUCCAUAGUUUUCUCAUUGGGAUUAUCUCCAAUUAUGUUACCAAUUAAAGCAGUAUUCCAGUAAUCCACCUGAGAAUUCAAAUCAUCUUCACUAAUUUUGACAACCUUCUUACCAUCUCUGUCAGUAGGAGGCACGAACGAGAGUGGUUUACCCAUUCGAGCAUUGCGAUUACCUCGCACAACCUCGACAGCAGUUGGAAUUGAUUUCUCAGACCCACUAGCAUCUGAGAACUGUAAGCGUCUCACAGCGUGACUAGUAGGCACUUCAAUUUUGUUCAUAGGAGGUAGUAAUCCAUUCUUAACACCGUCUGCAUGCAUCAUCUCUUUCGAUUGGAAUUUCUGGGGAAGGAAAUUACCAAACGUCAGUGGUUCUAGUUCCUUAGUAACACCAUGAGCUGGGGUAGCAAUUUGAGCAGUAGUGACAGCCACAUUUCGCCGGCGACGAGCCAUUUUCCGUGCACAAUGGCGAUCUUGCUAUCAUGAGCCAAGAGGUUUUAGUAUUUUCAUGUGCUUAAAAUUCUAUUUCUCUCCGAAACAACCUAUUUUUCCCAAACUAAAAUAAAGACUCAUUUUCCUUUUCUUUUUCAACAAACAACUUUCCAAAAAUAAAAGACUCUUUUUUCUAUUUUUUCCUUUGCUUUUUAGUAAAACAAACUAUUUAAAAUAAAAUAUUUUCCUUUUUUCCAUUUUCUAAAAAUUUCGGUAGAGUUACGACAUUAUUUGGGCAUUGUUAUUUCUAAAACUAAGAAAUUAACUCUCUGCACUGCUAUUUCUUUCUUUUUCUCAAUUUCACAAUAUUCCCGAUAUUCAAAAGCCGGUCAUUAUGCUGGCCCGAAACAAAUAAAUGCACGGAUAAUAAAUAGAUGCAUCAGGAUGAUCUUUUCAUUUCAGGUUGCUAGUCCUAGAUGGAUCCAACCUCUGUGUUGAGUUCCCUAAGUCAAAUGCAACAUGAUGCAAAUAAGAGUUCCUACUAGGGAUCCGGCAUGAAGUCACGUUAUUCUAUGUUAAAAACCUGGGUAUGUAUUCUAGACUGUGUACUCGAGCGGACAACUCGAGUCGAUGAGGAGGCAACUUACCGGGAACCAAAAGGCCAUCCGACUUCGUAACUUGUCUGGCGUCUUUCUUAUUUCAGGGUAUGACACUAACAGAAUAGGGAGUCUCAACCAGUGAGCACAUCCUCGGAGUCUCAACAUAAGGAGUUUUUCCAAUUAAAGGACAAUCGGAACGAGAUUUAUUAUUAAGAUUUCAAAGUUGCCACUUGGGAGAUUAAUGGUGUCCCAAGUCACUGGUUCAAUCCCGAACCGAGGAAAAAUAUGACUUUGUUAACAGUCCGCGAACCAGAAAUCCGAGUGCGAAAUUCUGUUAACCCCGGAAAAGGUUUUAGGCAUUCCCGGGUUCCAUGGUUCUAGCACGGUCGUUCAACUGUUGUAAUUGAUUUUAUCUGAUUUCAAGACAUGUUCUAGCUUAUAUGAUUUUUUAAAUUUAUACCGCUAUUAUUAUUAUAUUUUUAACAAGAAUUACGUCGUAAAAAUGCAUCUCGAACCACGUAAUAUCAAAUGCACCCAUGGUUGGUGAUACAUUUUGACUUCGUUGAGAUUUGGAUUUGGGUCACAUAAACGUGAACCCUACGUUAGGAAUAUAGUGUUAUCAAAGUGCACGCUUAAAUAGACUAACGCACUUUCAUCUUUGGGGAAGGCCGAAAAUUUGCUAAACGGCCCAUUCCGAAGUCUAAAUAUUUUAGUAUAACCAUUUAUCGAGGGCCCUUGAAUUUAUGUUUUCUAUUUGGGGAGGCUCGUCUCAUUUUAUUUAAGAAUAUCCUAAUGUGAACUAAUAUUUUCUAUUAAAUUGUCUCUAAAUAUAAAGAAAAGAAAUUCUAAUUAAUUAACAUAUUUGAAAGGGCCAAGUUUCAUGUAAAUCAGGUUCGAAUCACUUAGGCCUAACAAUCCAGUAAGCAAGACAAUGUAUUUUUAGCAAGUUAUCCCGAAGCAGCCUCGAUCACACAUACAAAGGGACGACACAAUUUGGGCUUGUGGUGAAGGAUCCAGGCCCAGGGGUAUGGGUAAAGGUACCACAACUGUAUAGCUGAGUAAGGCUGCCUGGGCCCUACGUUUGAGCCCAAUUCUAAAGCCAAUUUGCAACUACUCACUUAAAAAACUUAGCUUCAUAAGCAUUUAAAAACAUGAAUUCGCUACAGUUAUUGAACGAUUCAAUUUUAAGGUCAAAGUGCUACCCGGAGAGUUAUUAAUCACAAUUCACCUCAACAAUGCAAUUUACUUCUCAAGUUAACCGCAUUUUUUUUAAAUUUCUAUACCAAAGCCAUGAACGAUUACUUCUUAGAAGCUAAGCUUCAUUGCUUGCAGCGAUAAACAAACCCAGCAUUCAAUUAUGGCAUGCAAAUUGACCCACGACCUAAAUUUAUACCUAAGUACAUGUGGCCAAAACUAUACUCAUUUUUCAUUUUAAGUUUUCACCCAUUUGAACAACCAAUCACACAUGAAGACCUAGAGUUGAUUUUUAUGUUAACGCUAUUACCAAUAUCAACAGUCAGCUAGUUACCGAAUGGAAAUUCCCUGGUUUGAUGAACAAUUUAAUACAACAUGAUAAUCAAUAACAGUCUAGUUAACCUAAAGCAGUCCUAGUUAUACAGUCAAGAUCACUACAGUCCAAUUUUCAGGCAGUUCGCAUUAUACGAAUAACUAGAAUGAUAUUAAAAUAAAGCAUGAAAUUAGGACAAGGUGUGAAAUUCAUAGAUCUCUCCAAACAACACUUUGCUUCAUAUUCAGGAGCCUGAAAGUUACAAAAUAGGUACCUGGGAGUCGAACAACAAUAAGAAGAAGAGAAUGUUAGUAGCAACAGAUGCCAGACAACUGAUUGAUAUCAAGUUCACAUCCCAAUACACAACAUCAUGUUACUCCAGAUUUGAGUUUUGAAAAUACAGUAUCAUCACAAUAACUUGAAUAAACCCAAAUAUCAAACAAAUGAAUCCAGAAAUCAAUCCAGAAAGAGUUUGAGAUCCACAGGAACCAAAGAUUAAUCACAAAUCACUUGACUGCACUCAAACAGACUUGAAACUGAACUCAAAACUUCUGAAACUUCAACAGGGCAAAACUCAACUAGAAAACCAACUUAAGUUGACUCAAAAUCACUCGAAAUGAACCUCUAAACUUCAGCAACCAAGGAUUCAACUUAAACACAAACAAUCCAUGGAGAACAACUAUCAGAACUCACAAUUACUCUAUGUAACAAUAUUUUUUGGUAUUUUCUGAAGAGGUUUGUUGUUUUUUUUUGUCUUUGUUUUGUGAAGAAAGCUUAAGACUCUAAAAGAAAAUUUCAAAUUCUAGAUCUCAUUUUGAAUUUGAAACUAGAUAGUAUUUUGGGGGGAACUUUGAGGCUGAAAAUCUUGUCCCUUAAGGCAUUAAAGGCUGCUUUAUGUAGGCAAGAAUAGGGGCAAAAAGUUCUGGAACUCAUUCCCCAUCCCCCCCCCCUUUAUUUCAAAAAUUGGUCAUUAAUCCCUUACUUCCGGACUUGUUUUCCAAGUUACACCCUUAAGUUAUAAAAAUUCUGAUUUGAAACUGAUCUAGAAUGUUCUAGAGCUUCCAAUGAACUACCCCAGUUACCCUUAGCCUUGCCCAUGAACUACCCAAUUAAGCCAAUUAUACCCCAGACCCCUUUUAGCCUAGAUAAACUAACAACAAUUCUAAAAUCAACCAAACAAAUCCUAGAAUUGAAAUAAAAAGGAAAUUAAAGCUAUCAUCAAUGAAAAACCAAGUAACACAAUUGAUUAGCCAAAUAGAAUUUAAACAAAUAUUAACCUAAUUAGCUUGACAUUUAACUCUAAACAACUGGAUCCUAAAACUAACAUAGCAAUACAACAGAUCUAAAAUGAGGCCAACUAUGAAGAUUAAUCGACUAAAAUUCAAACAACAAAAAUAGCAAUUGAACCUAGAACCUUGCUACUUAAAUCAAUGAACAAACUACUAAAACAUAAUAACCACAUGGUGAAGAACAAAUAAGACCUAAAUUGAAAUUCUUAAUCAACACAAACUAACAGUAGAAUUCUAAAUAUAACAAACAACAAAAGGAAUGAACAAAAUGAAAAUGAAGAAGAAAAGCAGAAACAUGGACUCAGUGAUAUAAGUUUCGACCCACUCCAAGAAUAUUUAAUGGCUAUUGACGAGGGAUUCGUCAUGAGAGGAAUGAGGAUGCCACGAGGUAUAAACCUGAAGCCGAAUGGGUGAAUUAGGGCUCUGCCGAAAUCUUCGAUUUAAUAUUUGGAGACGCUGACGAGGAUUUGACGAACAACAGUCGUGGAUUCGAGAUGAGGGGAGUGAGGAGGUCUAGGGAUGUUAUUUUUGUUGGAUUCGGAGACGAGCGCCGCCGUGCACAGUUGUGGCGGCGCUAGGGUUUGAUCUAUUCGAUGUGUUAGGGUGAGAUUCGGAGGGAACCAAUGGUGGAUAUGGAACGGGGAGGCGAAGGAGAAGGCGUGAUGUAAAUUUGAACGCCAUUGGACGCCGGCCGCCUCCGUGAGGCGAUUUUCGACGGCAGCGUGAGGCGGAGACAGUGGGGAGGGGUUUGUACGGUGAAGAUAGAUUUUGUCCCUAUAAUUGUAUAAGGGUUAUUACAUUUUUAUGUAAUUUCUCUGAAGGAUUCUGAAUCGUUGAUCACGAGAAAUGGACAGACAGGAUUAGGGUGAGAGGAAACGACGUCGUUUGGGCGUUUAAUGAGACAGACUGGGUUGUUGACUGUUUGGGCCUAGGCGGGUUAUUUUGGGUUAAGCAAGGUUUAUUGCAGACGACCCAAUUAAUGUUUUUUCCUUCUUUGUUUUCUUUUUUCUCCUUUUCUUAUUUAGUAAUGUAUUUUAAUUUGUAUUUUUGUAUUUUUUUUAUUUUUUAGAAAAUGCAAAAUUAAGAUAAAGACCUAAUUUCUUUCCAACACUAAGCUAAUUAAUUCCUAAAAAUUGAUUAAGUCCUUUUUAAAGUAAACUCAAGACAAGUUCAACAAUUAACAAUUGAAAAUGCAAAAAUAGACUAUUUUUAUUAUUUUCUUUAUAUUUUAUUCUAAAAAUAACUUAACCACUAAUUAAUCCUAAUAUAUGAAACUAAAUACUAAAUACAAAUAUAAAGCAUAUUUUAUAUAUGAAUUAAAAUGCUAAAAAUUAACAGAAAAUAACACAAAAUUCAAAAAAUUACAAAAUAAUGAAAGAAGUCAUUUUGUUUGUAUUUUUGAGAAUAAUUCAUAUAUACGGCAAAAAUAACGUGUUCAUAGCUGCCCCUCUUUGCUCGAAAACAUGAAAAGUUUUCGUGCAAAGAUAAGUGAGCAAAUAUUAGCGAUUUUUGCCCUGUUUGAAGAUUCCGUAUUAAGCAUUUUUGAAAGAGUUGACUGCACCCUGCUUCGGAGGUUGCCUACAUAUCCUGGCUUUAACAGGAAUCAGGUCAGUGUAGUUCAGGAAUGUGUGGUACCUGGGACUACCAGGAGCUGUGAUUUCAUUGUGAUUACUGCUGCUACUACUUGCUGACCUCCCUUAUUACACCAUCAAAAUAGAAAGAAGCUAGCCUAAGCUAUGAACUAUGAAUUAUAAAAACCAUAUCUAAAUUCUUCAAACUUGCUUUUGUACUUCUUGUUCCCUUAUUGUCUUGUGUUUUCUUGUUGCCUUGUUGUCUUGUGUUUUCUUGUUGCCUUGUUGUCUCGUGUUCUCCUGGUGAAAUUCAUUGUAAUCACUUUGAAUUGUAAACUGAGAUGUUAUAACUUUCUUCAAACCGGUGAACUUGAAUUUUUCCUCUACUAUACAAGCGGGCUCCCGAUUUCAAAACUUGAACUGUAUUCCUCUGUUCUCCAGGUGGGCUCCUGACUUCACAAAAUAAACAAAACAAAGAAAACUUUAUGCCCCAGUUUGGAAAACUUGGUACAUUUAAUCCACUAUUUCACUUUCCCUCAUUGGGGGGUCGACUCUCGCAGCCUGAUCUCUCCAGCGGAACCCAUACUCCUUGAAACUUUCCCCAGGCUUCUUCUCAAGUUUUAUCAGUGACAUGCGGUCUGGAGCAAUUUCUAGAUUGUACUAAAAAUGGCAAGCGAACGCUUGUGCCAUGUCAUCCCAAGUAUACCACCUAUCGUGGUCCUGACGUGUAUACCACUCCAAAGCAAAUCCACUCAGACUCUGGCUGAAGUACACCAUCAGUAAUUCAUCUUUCCCACGGCACCUCUCAUUUUUGUACAGAAACCUCACAAGUAUGCCACUAGAUCGCCAUGACCAUCAUACAGUUCAAACUUUGGCAUUUUAAACCCCGCAGGCAGCGAAGUACUGGUUUUGUUGUGUCCAAGAACAAUGGCCAAAUACAGACUGAGCUUAGUGUCUCACCACUCCCAGGGAGUGACCAAACCACUACUCAGUUGUGAUGACCCGAAAGGUCAUCACUCGUAUAGAAAAAAAAACUCUGUAUUUUGAGGCCUUAAAAACCUUUUUUCCCAUACCUCAAUUUACAUACUGAGUCCAGCCGCAUUUUCAAAAAGCUUUUAUGUGAAAACUAAGUGAAAUAAGGAAUUUGGCCUUUUAAAUUGAAUAAAACUGAAUUAGGUCAACAUUCUUGGUAAAAGGAUCCGAAACUGUGAUCCUACGUCCCUUAGGGUCUGUAGUAAAAUUUGGGACUUGGGCAUAUGCCCGAAAUCGAAUUACGAGGUCCCAAGCCCGAGAAAUAAAUAUUUUAAGAAAAUUAUUUUCCGAAAAAUAUAAAGGUUUUUAGAAGAGAAUUGAUGCAUUUUCUUGAUGGUAUCUGGCCCGUAUCUUGGUUCCGGAGCCCGGUACAAGUUUGAAAUAAUAAUUAAGAUAAAUCUGUAAAAUUUGGUAAAGAUCGGAGUUGGUUUUGUAUAAAACAGACCUAAAUUUCAGAAAUUGGAAAAUUUGAUAUUCUUGAACGAUUUCAUGAAUUUGGGUUUUAAUUCAUAGUUGUUGAUGUUAUUUUGAUGAUUUGAUUACAAGAGCAAGUCCGUAUGAUAUUUUUAGGUUAGUGUGCAUGUUUGGUUUGGAGCCCCGAGGGCUCAGGUGAGUAUUGGACAGGCCACGAAGUAAAAUUUGACUUAGAAAAUUGCUUGCGUAUUGCUGGCCUGCGGGCUUCACAAUUGCGAAGCCUAUAUAGCAAAUGUGACGAUGGCCUGGGCAGGCCUUGGCCGCAAAUGCGAACAUUUCAUUGCAAAUACGAAAAGGCCAGAUACGCAAAUGCGACUUAUUCUUCAUAAAUGCGAAGAUUAUAGGUCCUGAAGGGGUUCAGAAUUGCGAACCAUGAUCGCAAUUGCGACAUCAGAGACCAGUUAAUUCGGUCACAUUUUCAUCCAUUAUUCAAACCUUCUCAAAACCUAAACACCUUUGAGUGAUUUUUCAAAGACAAAUUCUCCUCCAAAUCGAUUGUAAAUCAUUUCUUACUCAAUUUCUUUAAUUUAUAUAAUCUUUUCACAUGAUUUCAACUCAAAUCAAGGGUUUUCAUGGAGAAAUUUGGGUGUAUUGGGUAGAACUUAGAUUUUUUAAAUUUUGGGGAUUUGGACCUUGAUUUGGGGUCCGGUUUUAAAAUAAAUUAUAUAUUUGAAUUCGUGGGGGAAUGAGUAAUCGGGUUUUGGUUCGGACCUUGGGUUUUCACCAUAUGGGCCCGGGGUCGAUUUAUUACUUUUUGUAAUAUCUUUAUGAAACUUAUAUUCAUGCACUAGAAAUGAUUUGUUUAGCAAUUAUUAAUAUCGUUAAGUAAAUUGUGGCUCGAUACAACUGAAUUGGUGGUGGAAACAAGAGGUAAAGCGAUAGUUGAGUCUCGAAUUGUAUUCGUGGCUUUGAGUUAAGUGUUUGGUCUAACCUUAGCUUAAGGGAUUAGGAGUUGUAUCUUAUUUGCUAUGUGUUAAUUGUUGAGUACGACGUAUAUGCAUGGUUACAGAGUAUCUAUGCGUUGGUGUCAAGCAUGCUCGUGAGUCUUAUACUAUGACUAAUGUGACUCUAUUUCGUAUUGUUCAUGCUUUAUAUGAUGAGUUCUAUUGUUGAAUAAGUCUUGUGGAAGUAUUGUUGGUAAUUAAUCAUUGUAGAGCAUUGGCUCAAGUUGUAAAAUGAUUUAUAGAAGUAUUAUUGGUAAUUGAACAUUGAAGAGCAUUGGCUCAAGCUGUAAAAUGAUUUUUGAAAGUAUUAUUGGUAAUUGAACAUUGUAGAGCAUUGUCUUAUGUUGUUAAUCGAGUUGAGAGGUAAAUGUGAAAAAGAGGAGAGGUUUAUGAGAUUGUCUCCCUUGAUGGGAUGUUAUUGUUUUUGGUAUUGUUUCCCUUGCCGGGAUGUUGUUAUUCAUGAUAUUGUUUUCCCUUGCCAGAAUAUUUUUGUUAAGCUAUUGUUCCCUUGCCAGGAUUUUAUUGAAAUAUUAUUGAUUCCCUUGCCCAAAUUGCUUUGUGAUUGUUGCUUGGGUGAGGAAGAGUGUAAAGCACAAAGGGUGAUGCGGUGUAUGAUUUUUGAGAGUAUUAAUGCACGACGGGUGAUGCCGUGCCUAUAUUGUGAGUUUAAAGCAUGAAGGGUGAUGCCGUGCUAUACGAUGUACAAUUGCAUGCCAUGGUAUGAGUGAUAAUGCACAAAUGAUCAUUCCGUGCCAUGAUUAUGUGAGGUAAAGAACGAAGGGUUAUGCCGUGCUGAUUUUAUUAAUUUUAUGGUGAGGACGAUAGUAUAAGUACGAAGAGUGAUGCUGUGCACUUGUCUUUUAUGUCUGAUUCUUGUUGUUAAUUGAACUUUGGUAUUCCUUAUGUUUAUCUGAUGUUCUUCUGUUAUUACUUGAUGUUCCCUGCAGUAUGUUUUCCCCUUCCUAUCCUUAACUGUACAUUUUUGCCUUUAUUUUCUGCUAUAUAUAAUUUAACUGCACAUGUUUAUUUGGUAGUCUGUACCUAUCCUCGUCAAUAUUUUUCCGAGGUUAGGCUAGGCAAUUACCAGCACAUGAGAUCAGUUGUGCUGAUACUACAUUCUGAACUGUGUGCAGAUUCCGAUGCUGUAACUUUUG
Molecule: long non-coding RNA, 16030 nt
Filed under: Nicotiana benthamiana
Lineage: Eukaryota; Viridiplantae; Streptophyta; Magnoliopsida; Solanales; Solanaceae
Description: long non-coding RNA (NBEN_LNC025133)
Source: RNAcentral